RNAcentral lists this ribosomal RNA (89 nucleotides) under Lottia gigantea (owl limpet). The record is from RNAcentral. Lineage: Eukaryota; Metazoa; Mollusca; Gastropoda; Lottiidae.
GUCUACGGCCAUACCACGUUGAAAGCACCAGUUCUCGUCCGAUCACUGAAGUUAAGCAACGUCGGGCUCGGUUAGUACUUGGAUGGGNN